Non-coding RNA from Acanthosepion pharaonis, 107 nucleotides. NCBI's taxonomy places the organism in Eukaryota, Metazoa, Mollusca, Cephalopoda, Sepiida, Sepiidae. The record is from the annotation of a GenBank genome assembly.
UGCCCACAUCACGUUGAAACACCGGUGCCUGUACGAUCACCGAAGUUAAGCAACGUCUAGCCUGGUCAUUACUUAUAUGGUUGACCGCUUGGGAAUACCAAGUGCUG